This 379-nucleotide ribosomal RNA is filed under the name uncultured bacterium. RNAcentral's name for it is "bacterial SSU rRNA". It matches the Rfam family "Bacterial small subunit ribosomal RNA", at positions 28 to 407 of the family's 1533-position model. The record is from RNAcentral.
GACGAACGCUGGCGGCGUGCUUAACACAUGCAAGUCGAGCGGUAAGGCCCUUUCGGGGGUACGACGAGCGGCGAACGGGUGAGUAACACGUGGGUGACCUGCCCUCAGCUCUGGGAUAAGCCUGGGAAACCGGGUCUAAUACCGGAUAUGACUCCAUGACGCAUGUUGUGGGGUGGAAAGCCUUGUGCGGCUGAGGAUGGGCCCGCGGCCUAUCAGCUCGUUGGUGGGGUGAUGGCCUACCAAGGCGACGACGGGUAGCCGGCCUGAGAGGGCGACCGGCCACACUGGGACUGAGACACGGCCCAGACUCCUACGGGAGGCAGCAGUGGGGAAUCUUGCGCAAUGGGCGAAAGCCUGACGCAGCGACGCCGCGUGAGGG